UUUCUCCCGUUUGGGGCGGCGAGGGCGGGGCUAGAGCGGCAAUAAGUUGGGUUGGGUGGCGUGCCUUCGUCUUUGCUCGCCGUGGCUUCCAGGAUCAGUUCCAGUUAUUCUCCUUGUGUACAGAAGGUGCUGGAAAUAAAGAAUAGCUCUCCUUUACGGCUUCUUAGCCACCCUCUGGUGAACUGAAGAGGACCUGUUCCUGAGUAAACAUGCUUAAGAAUCAACU
Pogona vitticeps (central bearded dragon) is the source of this 226-nucleotide non-coding RNA. Lineage: Eukaryota; Metazoa; Chordata; Lepidosauria; Squamata; Agamidae. The record is from RefSeq and is a predicted model, not a curated record.